Molecule: ribosomal RNA, 492 nt
Filed under: uncultured bacterium
Lineage: Bacteria
Description: partial 16S ribosomal RNA
Rfam family: Bacterial small subunit ribosomal RNA
Source: RNAcentral
AGUGAACGCUGGCGGUAGGCCUAACACAUGCAAGUCGAACGGCAGCACAGUAAGCUCUUGCUCUUACGGGUGGCGAGUGGCGGACGGGUGAGGCAUACAUCGGAAUCUACUUUUUCGUGGGGGAUAACGUAGGGCAACUUACGCUAAUACCGCAUACGUCCUACGGCUUAAAGCAGUAGUUCUUCGCACCUUUCGCGAUUCAUUGAGCCGAGGCCGGAUUAGCUAGUUGGGUGGGUAAAGGCCCACCAAGGCGACGAUCCGUAGCGGGCCUGAGAGGAUGAUCAGCCACACUGGAACUGAGACACGGUCCAGACUCCUACGGGAGGCAGCAGUAGGGAAUAUUCGGCAAUGGGCGCAAGCCUGAUCGAGCAACACCGCGUGGGUGAAGAAGGCCUUCGGGUCGUAAAGCCCUGUUGUUGGGAAAGAAAAGCAGCAGGUGAAUACCCCGCUGUUCUGACGGUACCUAAAGAAAAAGCACCGGCUAACUUCGUG